RNAcentral lists this non-coding RNA (82 nucleotides) under bovine gut metagenome. RNAcentral's name for it is "TPP riboswitch (THI element)". It matches the Rfam family "TPP riboswitch aptamer (THI element)", at positions 6 to 93 of the family's 105-position model. From Rfam's summary of the family: Vitamin B(1) in its active form thiamin pyrophosphate (TPP) is an essential coenzyme that is synthesised by coupling of pyrimidine and thiazole moieties in bacteria. The previously detected thiamin-regulatory element, thi box was extended, resulting in a new, highly conserved RNA secondary structure, the THI element, which is widely distributed in eubacteria and also occurs in some archaea. Analysis of operon structures identified a large number of new candidate thiamin-regulated genes, mostly transporters, in various prokaryotic organisms. The record is from RNAcentral.
AUUGCAGGGGUGCCACCGGCUGAGAUCGCGCAAGCGAAACCCUUUCACCUGAUCCGGAUCAUACCGGCGUAGGGAGCGAUGA